GCACAAGCGGUGGAGCAUGUGGUUUAAUUCGAUGAUACGCGAGGAACCUUACCUGGGCUCGAACGUAAGAUGACUGUAGGUGAAAGCUUACAUCUCUUCGGAGCAUUUUACGAGGUGCUGCAUGGUUGUCGUCAGCUCGUGUCGUGAGAUGUUGGGUUAAGUCCCGUAACGAGCGCAACCCUUGUCCUUAGUUACCAGCACGUUAUGGUGGGCACUCUAAGGAGACUGCCGGUGACAACGGAGGCAGGUGGGAUGACGUCAAGUCAUCAUGGCCCUUACGGCCUGGGCUACACACGUGCUACAAUGGUCGGUACAAAGGGUUGCCAAGCCGCGAGGUGGAGCUAAUCCCAUAAAACCGAUCGUAGUCCGGAUCGCAGUCUGCAACUCGACUGCGUGAAGUCGGAAUCGCUAGUAAUCGUGAAUCAGAAUGUCACGGUGAAUACGUUCCCGGGCCUU
This 456-nucleotide ribosomal RNA is filed under the name uncultured Pseudomonas sp. RNAcentral describes it as "bacterial SSU rRNA". It matches the Rfam family "Bacterial small subunit ribosomal RNA", at positions 923 to 1382 of the family's 1533-position model. The record is from RNAcentral. Lineage: Bacteria; Pseudomonadati; Pseudomonadota; Gammaproteobacteria; Pseudomonadales; Pseudomonadaceae.